Molecule: ribosomal RNA, 253 nt
Filed under: uncultured bacterium
Lineage: Bacteria
Description: partial 16S ribosomal RNA
Rfam family: Bacterial small subunit ribosomal RNA
Source: RNAcentral
UACGUAGGGUGCAAGCGUUGUCCGGAAUUAUUGGGCGUAAAGAGCUCGUAGGCGGUUCGUCGCGUCGGCUGUGAAAUCCCGAGGCUCAACCUCGGGUCUGCAGUCGAUACGGGCGGACUGGAGUUCGGCAGGGGAGACUGGAAUUCCUGGUGUAGCGGUGAAAUGCGCAGAUAUCAGGAGGAACACCUAUGGCGAAGGCAGCUCGCUGGGACGGUACUGACGCUGAGGCGCGAAAGCGUGGGGAGCGAUCCGG